RNAcentral lists this ribosomal RNA (380 nucleotides) under uncultured eukaryote. RNAcentral describes it as "partial 18S ribosomal RNA". It matches the Rfam family "Eukaryotic small subunit ribosomal RNA", at positions 592 to 976 of the family's 1831-position model. The record is from RNAcentral.
CAAUAGCGUAUAUUAAAGUUGUUGCGGUUAAAAAGCUCGUAGUUGGAGUUCUGCCAGGUGCCGCCUGUCCGCCCCAGUGGUGAGUACGUGGCGCGCAUUUGGCCCUUUCAAGGGGAGCGUAUCUGCACUUUAUUGUGUGGUGCGGGAUCCUUGACUUUUACUUUGAGGAAAUAGGAGUGUUCCAAGCAGGCUCUCGUCGUGCACAGCUCAGCAUGGAAUAAUAGCAUUGGACCUCGAUUCUAAGCUGUUGGUUGCCAGAAGCGAGGUAAUGAUGAAGAGGGAUAGUUGGGGGCAUUCGUAUUUAACUGUCAAAGGUGAAAUUCUUGGAUUUGUUAAAGACGGACUACUGCGAAAGCAUCUGCCAUGGAUGUUUUCAUUGA